CAGGAUCAGUGAUGCAACUAUUAAAACUGCGUUAUCUUUCUGCAACCUUUUAAGGUGCUGAAGAACACAUUACCUGCUGAGAUCCGUG
This 88-nucleotide small nucleolar RNA is filed under the name Dichanthelium oligosanthes. RNAcentral describes it as "Small nucleolar RNA snoR27". It matches the Rfam family "Small nucleolar RNA snoR27". The record is from Rfam by way of RNAcentral. Lineage: Eukaryota; Viridiplantae; Streptophyta; Magnoliopsida; Poales; Poaceae.